Quercus robur (English oak) is the source of this 2521-nucleotide RNA transcript. It is a transcript of the gene named casein kinase 1-like protein 3, with no coding region annotated. The record is from RefSeq and is a predicted model, not a curated record. The transcript is spliced from 17 exons. NCBI's taxonomy places the organism in Eukaryota, Viridiplantae, Streptophyta, Magnoliopsida, Fagales, Fagaceae.
AUUUCAAAUCAGCCCCUGUCCUCAUUCGGAAUUAUAAAUCGGCCCUCGUUCCCGCUUUCACCUUUUUCCCCAAAUCAAAACCCUAGCUUUCUCUCUCUUCCCCAAAAUUCGCUUCCAAUUCAAUCGAAUUCCACAGAGCGAUUCAGACAAUAUAGAUACAAUAAAUGGAGAGGAUCGUCGGAGAUAAGUACAAAUUAGGUCGCAAAAUCGGUAGCGGAUCGUUUGGUGAAAUUUUUCUUGCUACACAUAUAGACACCUUUGAAAUCGUGGCGGUUAAGAUUGAAAACCAGAAGACGAAGCAUCCGCAAUUGCUUUAUGAGGCCAAGUUGUAUAGUGUUCUUCAAGGAGGAAAUGGUAUUGCGAACAUGAAAUGGUGCGGGGUGAAUGGAGAUGAUAACAUUCUUGUCCUUGACCUUCUUGGACCAAGUCUUGAAGAUCUCUUUGUCUACUGUGGGAGGAAGUUUUCCUUGAAAACAGUCUUAAUGUUGGCUGAGCUAAUGAUUACGAGAAUAGAGUAUGUGCAUGCUAAAGGAUUUUUGCAUAGAGACAUUAAACCAGAUAACUUCCUCAUGGGUCUUGGCAGGAAAGCAAAUGUGGUUUAUAUUAUUGAUUUUGGACUUGCAAAAAGAUUUCGGGACCCCACGACAAAUCGGCAUAUUCCUUACAAAGAGAACAAAAACUUAACAGGGACUGCACGUUAUGCAAGUUGCAAUACUCAUUUGGGAAUUGAACAGAGCCGUCGGGAUGAUUUGGAGUCACUGGGCUAUGUUCUCCUGUACUUUUUAAGAGGAAGCCUUCCUUGGCAGGGUUUAAAGGCUGCCACAAAAAAGCAAAAGUAUGACAAGAUAUGUGAGAAGAAGUUAUCAACUCGUAUUGAGGUCCUUUGCAAGUCGCAUCCUGUGGAGUUUGCAUCAUACUUCCAUUAUUGCCACUCAUUGACAUUUGAUCAGAGGCCUGAUUAUGGAUUCUUGAAGCGCCUGUUUCGUGACUUGUUUAAUCGGGAAGGAUAUGAGUUUGAUAAUGUAUUUGAUUGGACCAUUUUAAAAUACCAGCAGACACAACGGACAAAUAUGCAAGCUCAAUCAUCUCCAGUUACUGGAGCGACAAGUAGUCUAGCAAAGCCUAUGGAUGUGGAUAAGAAUAAAGGAGGCAAGGAUGCUUUUUAUUCAGCCAAGGCUACUGAGCCUAGAGAACCAAGUAAAAACACUCAUCAACAGGUUCAUGUGCAGUUUAGAUCAUCAGAAGCUCAGAAUUUGAGUGCUUCAAAUCUGAAGGAGAAACAUACUGUGAGCAAUGCAGCAAUGGCAUCUACUUCGUCUGCUAUGCCAAGAUCCUUCAAAAGCAAUUUUUCAAAACCUGAUGGGCAGGCAGAAACUGCAUAUGCAGGUCGUGGGCUCGGGAAUGGAACUGGUACUUCAAGCAGCUGGAUGGCAUCAUUAAAACGAAUUUCCUCAACCAAGUAACUGUUAUGGAUCCAAAGGAUAGCAUCAAAGCAUGCACAACAUUGGCAACUACAAUGAAAUUUGGAAUGAUUGAGAUCUUCUGUUGCAAAAUCGAAUGAAGUUUUAAUAUAAGGGGACUACAAAGUACAGACGCAUUGGAUACUGCUAGGACUUGGUCAAAUCAAAGCUUGGCACUCGCCCUCUCAAGUUAAAGCUUGGAUUUUCUGCGUGCAUAGGAUGAGUUGCUUUCUGUUCUUAUUGCUGUAUCUUUUUUGGAUCAAAGCUCUGGAAGUUCACCUGGAUAGUUUUGAUCUCAGGUUCCCGAAUUUGAGAACUACUGUUGCAUGGUUGUUCAGAUUUAAUAUAUGAGAAGAUGUAAAGGAUGAAUGGGUGAAGUUCAUGGAAUCUUGAUGUCAAAUGGAGAUGGUUUGUAUGAUCCAACUUUUUGUUGGUCUAGGGAUUUUCGGAGCUGUGGUUCUUUAGUGUAGAUAAUUUCAAGGGCUCAACAUACACCGACUCUCUCUCUCUCUCUCUCUCUCUCUCUAUUAACAACCCCCCCCCCCCCCCCCCCCUCUUUUUUCCUCUUAGUCAAGCAAUAGUUUUUUUUUUUUUUUGGGUGGGGAAGCUACAAGAAGAGGGUAGAUUUGAAUCUAGGUUCUCCCCAUGAGGGAGACAAGGCGUGGCAUUGAUUCACAAAGAACUUGGCACCGAGCACUAGAUCCAAAAUUCCCUAGAGAUACCAGAUCUACACUAGAUAGUUGGUGCUACAUUGCAUUCCACAUAUGAAAGGGUUCCGUUGUUUUUAGGGCUUUGUAGUGGGUCACAUAUUUUCUUUGCUUGUGACUGUGUCUUUACCAUUAUUUCGUUUGGUUUAUUCUUUUUCCCUUAUUUUAUUUUUAUAUUUUUAUAUAAGAGGAUGGAGGCAAAAGAAGGAGGUUGGGGGGAUUAACUCUCCGUCCUUGUGUUUCUCAACCAUACACCCUCUUCAAAAUGAUAGAUAGAUUUUGUAAGGGAUUAAAACGCACUGGAUUUAUAUUUAUAUAGCGUCUCUAUAUGGUUGCUAGGGAGCAGUUUCUUCA